Molecule: transfer RNA, 81 nt
Filed under: Arcanobacterium hippocoleae
Lineage: Bacteria; Bacillati; Actinomycetota; Actinomycetes; Actinomycetales; Actinomycetaceae
Description: tRNA-Tyr
Rfam family: tRNA
About the family: Transfer RNA (tRNA) molecules are approximately 80 nucleotides in length. Their secondary structure includes four short double-helical elements and three loops (D, anti-codon, and T loops). Further hydrogen bonds mediate the characteristic L-shaped molecular structure. tRNAs have two regions of fundamental functional importance: the anti-codon, which is responsible for specific mRNA codon recognition, and the 3' end, to which the tRNAs corresponding amino acid is attached (by aminoacyl-tRNA synthetases). tRNAs cope with the degeneracy of the genetic code in two manners: having more than one tRNA (with a specific anti-codon) for a particular amino acid; and 'wobble' base-pairing, i.e. permitting non-standard base-pairing at the 3rd anti-codon position.
Source: RNAcentral
GGCGGGUUUGCAGAGCGGCCAAAUGCAGGUGACUGUAAAUCAUCUCCUUCGGGUUCGGGGGUUCGAAUCCCUCACCCGCCA